GUUCCUGCCCAAGGCGGGCUCGGACUUGUCCACCAGGUAUAAGCAGGAUAAGCAUAUCUUUUUGGCAAGAUAGGCAGAAAUAGAACUCUCAGCAUUUCAUCCUGGGAAGGAGCCAUAUGUUUAUAUCUUGGAUUGCUUGUUAUGGCAUCAUCUUAGGUGGCUGAAGCUGUAUGAGUCUUGCAGCAGACCUGGCAUUUGGACUAAAAGCUUCUUACAGAUAAAUGCAGGAAGGACAUUCCAGGAGGAAGGGUCAUCACAGAAGAUUUCUGUCAUUUAUCUGAGAGGCAGACAUGACAGAAUUACAGGUUUAUAUCACAGCCAAAGCAGUGGAGAGGCAGCGUUGUGGGACAGAAGAGUUAACAGAUGCAGAACAGUGAAAGACCUUGAUGUACAGAAAACUGAAGAUUUGUCUACAUAAUAAAAUGGACCUGGUGUAGAAGUCCCACAACUAGUGGAAACUCAUGCCAUUAAGUCCAGACUGUAUGUGUAACACAGCACUGUGCCAUAGUGACCUGUCACUGCAUUUUCUCAGCAGGUCUUAUUAGCUUGGGCACAGCACUGUCUAAUAUGGGAAUAGUUCAUCAGAUGUGAGCUGGCUUGGGUCCAGGCAGCUCAGUGUAUCUGUGUAUCACACGCCCCAGCGUACCAGUUCUGGGAUUAGCUUGGACAGCCCUCGCUUGGGUCUGCUUUAAUCGGUUGAUAAAUGAUAAGAAGCCCUCAUUGCUGCUCUUAUUCAACUAAUCUCCAGUUUAAUAAAGAAAGUUCCUUCUGAUGAUCAGACAGGUCUUUUCCUUUAAAAAAAAAAAAAUCAUCCCAGUAUAAAUUAAUUGCCUUCCAAAAAUGGAGCAAAGUCCUUUGAACAAGAGACAUCCUGGCAAGCCAAGCAACUGUGUGUUUUGUUGCCAUUUGAGGGGACUUGUGCUGAAAUCCCAGCUUCUGCUGCCUUUCUCCUGCUAAGGAAGAAGUACCUCAUAUCACAAACCAGCAGCCCCUUCAGGCAAUUGCCAUUUAAAGAGUGGCAUUGAUGGACUCUGUAAGGAGUCCUAUUCAGUGCUCUCUAGCUGGCAGCAUGAUGUCAGUGAUGUGGGCGGCAGACCCCUGAAUUUGCUUUGAUGGUAUUUGUGCUCUUUUUUUUUCAUUUUUCACGAAUGAGUGAUUCAUUUCUUUGAAACAAUGUGUUUGGAAAGCCUGCCCCGCUAAGGAAUUGUCUACGCAGUGGGGGAGGCUCGGAACAUUGUAUGUCCUCAUAGAGGUACCAACAGGGGUUGUGCCAGAUCCCCAGUGCAAGAGGUAACAGGGAUACUUGUCUCAAAGCCAAAGCUUCAUGAAUCAAAGGCGCUGACUCUCGAGCACAAGUGCCAGCAUUUGGGCAGAUAACCUAGUCCAUGCCAAUUUAGGGUGAGAGGAAUGCCCCAGACUAAUCCUGUGGAUUCAAAGAAA
Dromaius novaehollandiae (emu) is the source of this 1440-nucleotide long non-coding RNA. RefSeq lists it as uncharacterized. The transcript has 3 exons. NCBI's taxonomy places the organism in Eukaryota, Metazoa, Chordata, Aves, Casuariiformes, Dromaiidae. The record is from RefSeq and is a predicted model, not a curated record.